Molecule: ribosomal RNA, 470 nt
Filed under: uncultured bacterium
Lineage: Bacteria
Description: partial 16S ribosomal RNA
Rfam family: Bacterial small subunit ribosomal RNA
Source: RNAcentral
UGGGGAAUAUUGCACAAUGGGCGCAAGCCUGAUGCAGCCAUGCCGCGUGUGUGAAGAAGGCCUUCGGUUGUAAAGCACUUUCAGCGAGGAGGAAGGUGGUGGACUUAAUACGUUCAUCAAUUGACGUUACUCGCAGAAGAAGCACCGGCUAACUCCGUGCCAGCAGCCGCGGUAAUACGGAGGGUGCAAGCGUUAAUCGGAAUUACUGGGCGUAAAGCGCACGCAGGCGGUUUGUUAAGUCAGAUGUGAAAUCCCCGGGCUCAACCUGGGAACUGCAUUUGAAACUGGCAAGCUAGAGUCUCGUAGAGGGGGUAGAAUUCCAGGUGGUAGCGGUGAAAUGCGUAGAGAUCUGGAGGAAUACCGGUGGCGAAGGCGGCCCCCUGGACGAAGACUGACCGCUCAGGUGCGAAAGCGUGGGGAGCAAACAGAUUAGAUACCCUGGUAGUCACGCUGUAAACGAUGUCGAUUUU